Molecule: ribosomal RNA, 253 nt
Filed under: uncultured bacterium
Lineage: Bacteria
Description: partial 16S ribosomal RNA
Rfam family: Bacterial small subunit ribosomal RNA
Source: RNAcentral
UACGAAGGGUCCAAGCGUUGUUCGGAAUCAUUGGGCGUAAAGCGCGCGCAGGCGGAUCAGUAAGUCAGGUGUGAAAUCUCGAAGCUCAACUUCGAAAUUGCGCCUGAAACUACUAGUCUAGAAUGUCGGAGGGGGCAGGGGAAUUUCACGUGUAGGGGUAAAAUCCGUAGAGAUGUGAAGGAACACCGGUGGCGAAGGCGGCUCUCUGGUCCAAUCCUGACGCUGAGGUGCGAAAGCUAGGGGAGCAAACGGG